AGCAGUGGGGAAUAUUGCACAAUGGGCGCAAGCCUGAUGCAGCCAUGCCGCGUGUGUGAAGAAGGCCUUCGGGUUGUAAAGCACUUUCAGCGGGGAGGAAGGCGUUAAGGUUAAUAACCUUGGCGAUUGACGUUACCCGCAGAAGAAGCACCGGCUAACUCCGUGCCAGCAGCCGCGGUAAUACGGAGGGUGCAAGCGUUAAUCGGAAUUACUGGGCGUAAAGCGCA
Molecule: ribosomal RNA, 227 nt
Filed under: Klebsiella pneumoniae
Lineage: Bacteria; Pseudomonadati; Pseudomonadota; Gammaproteobacteria; Enterobacterales; Enterobacteriaceae
Description: partial 16S ribosomal RNA
Rfam family: Bacterial small subunit ribosomal RNA
Source: RNAcentral